CGUAGGGGGCGAGCGUUGUCCGAAGUUACUGGGCGUAAAGCGCGCGUAGGCGGCUCUUUAAGUCUGGCGUGAAAGGUUCAGGGCUCAACCCGAACAGUGCGCUGGCGACUGGGGAGCUUGAGGACGGGAGAGGGGAGCGGAAUUCCGGGUGUAGCGGUGAAAUGCGUAGAUAUCCGGAGGAACACCGAUGGCGAAGGCAGCUUCCUGGCCCGUAUCUGACGCUGAGGUGCGAAAGCGUGGGGAGCGAACGGGAUUAGAUACCCCGGUAGUCCACGCCGUAAACGAUGAGUGCUAGGUGUUCGAGGUAUCGACCCCUCGGGUGCCGCCGCUAACGCAGUAAGCACUCCGCCUGGGGAGUACGGCCGCAAGGUUG
Molecule: ribosomal RNA, 373 nt
Filed under: uncultured organism
Description: bacterial SSU rRNA
Rfam family: Bacterial small subunit ribosomal RNA
Source: RNAcentral